This 305-nucleotide small RNA is filed under the name Histoplasma ohiense. RNAcentral's name for it is "hypothetical lncRNA". Lineage: Eukaryota; Fungi; Ascomycota; Eurotiomycetes; Onygenales; Ajellomycetaceae. The record is from RNAcentral.
AGAACUGAGAAGGCGGUGCUUUUCUGGCCUGUGACCAUGUUUCCCAUCUGAAAAUAUAGUACUAAUGCUGCUUCAUCAAUACAUAGGGCCUAGCUAGAUGGGCUAGUACAAGGGGUUAAGAUUAAAGUUCACAAGGGACUGGUAAAUAUAAGAAAAAACCAUGUCAGUCAAAGAGAUUCAAUCAGACAUGGCUAAAAUGUUUUCACAAAUGCCCAAAAUCCAGGUUGCUUGCAAUAAAGCUCAUUGUCAGUAACAUCUAAUCAACAUGUCUCAGGAUUCCGAUGUUGGAAUUGGCCUUUUUAAGA